GCCACUGGUGCGUCGGCGAUCCUCUCGCAUAUUGUGCUGAAACUCGCGUCGCAUGCUAUCAAUCCCCUGCAGGAUCUCCUGAACCUGCGGCGGCGACAUCAUAGGCGCCGGUGGUGGUGGCUGGAAGUGCUGCGGCUGCGGCGGCUGGUAAGGCUGCGGCUGCGGUGGCUGCUGGUAACCCGGAGGGUAACCAAAAGUAGAUGGGCCAGCAGCCCAAGGGUCUCCAAGUGGACCACUAUGUGGGAGUGAGCUGUAGUUCACAGCUUGCCAAUAAGGGUCUCCCGUGUAAUCAUAACCCUGAGGGAAUACCUGCUCGAACGGGUUGAACUGAGCGGCACUAGCAUAAGCCGGAAUCGGCUCUCCAAAAUUCUGCGGCGGCAGAGGCGGGAUCGGAACAGAAGUAACCUCCGAUACUGGAUGCUGAGACUCCCCUGUCUCAGACUCCCCGGGUAGAGACGUGUAGCGGCUGCUACUAACACGUGGAGGGGUGCCUAUGCGAAUCCCUCCGCGCGUAGACAUGCGCGCGUUCCUCCUUGGCCUCUGAGGUGGAGGAGGUAAAACUGGCGGCGGCGGUGGUGACGGAGUGAUCACGUCACGCCACAGGGCCUCAGAUAGGUCCUGCGGUAGAGGCGGCUGCUGCUGGAGCUGAUGCUGCUGCGAGUGGUGCUGUGAGUGCACCGGCGAACCAUGGAGCGAUUGAAGCAUCGGAGUACCAUGGAGUGAUUGAAGCAUAGGAGAGUUGUGGCUAGGGGUGAAGUACCAAUCAUGCUGCUUGAACCUCUCCUGGAAGCUGUCCACACCAUUAAAUGGUGAUCCUGUGUAUGGCGACCCAUCCGAUAUCUCAAUCGGGUGGUUUGGUGUACCUGAUGGUGGGAGCGAAGGGUCCGUCUCCUCGUCUACGUCCAUCUCGUGACCACCAGGAAAGUGGUCCUCCUGUCCAAGUGGGUUAUGGCCCACUGGCUCCUCCACAUAAGCAUUAGGGUUAUACAAACCCUGGUAGGCUGGCGCUGGAUGCUGGUGCGGUGACUGGUGCAACGGUAUGUAUGAUCCAAGCGAAUCAUGGGGCUCGUUCUCCGAGUGGGGCCCGAACGAGUGGGGUAAUGACGGAGAAGUGCUCGCGGAAACCGAAUGCCUAGCAGGCUCGGCAAAAGACCUCCAAAGGUCGUUGGCGGCUGUGUGGUGUGUAGCAGAUGGAGCCCGCCUAUGCGAGGGACCAGCCUCAUGAUCGUGCGAUGUAGGAAAUCCUCCACGACCUCUCAUCCUUGGCGGCAUCCUGAUCCUGUC
This 1284-nucleotide long non-coding RNA is filed under the name Helianthus annuus (common sunflower). RNAcentral describes it as "hypothetical non coding rna". The record is from RNAcentral. Lineage: Eukaryota; Viridiplantae; Streptophyta; Magnoliopsida; Asterales; Asteraceae.